Molecule: unclassified non-coding RNA, 663 nt
Filed under: Hevea brasiliensis (rubber tree)
Lineage: Eukaryota; Viridiplantae; Streptophyta; Magnoliopsida; Malpighiales; Euphorbiaceae
Source: RNAcentral
AUUUUCUCAACAGCAGUUUCAACAAUAAUACCAAACAGGCCCUAGCUCUGAAUGAGCAGAAGGUUUUCUUCUUCCACAGUUUGAAAAAGGAUUUGUUUGAGAUUGUUGUCAGAAUUAUUGAAAAAAUCACCAUCUAAAAUAAGUAAUAUGUUGAUUAAAGGGCAUUGGAACUUUAAUUUAAAGUAAAUUUAAUAAGUUCUAAUUAUAAAAACUUCAAACAGCAGCUUCAAAUUACUUUUUGCAAUAACAUUUAAAAAGGAGCUUUUCAAAAAAGCAAGUUUCAAUCUCAAGGCUAAACAGAUUCUAAGUCUCUCAAAUCUCAACAUUACUCCUAUCUCAACUUUGCUGCACCACUUCUUUAUGUGCAUAAUUACACUAAAAUUCAGUUCCCAAGUCCUAGAUCCAAAAAAACAGAAACUACUAUUUGAUCUGUACGCAAGAAAUAGGUUCACAAUGUAGUGCUGGCCACACUCAGAUCCAGUGGCUCUAGGUUCUAGUCAGUAGAAGGAAGGGACCUGAACUGGACUGCACAGAGCUGGUUCCCCAUGGAAUUGGUUCAAGGGCAAUUCCAGAUUCAGGCAAUCCAAUAGUUGUUUUUUUCUUUAAAAAAGGGUUCAUGAGGAAGAGGAGGAGGAGGAGGAGAUGGAGAGUGCGAAGAUGGUG